UCCCUGGUUGAUCCUGCCAGUAGUUAUAUGCUUGUCUCAAAGAUUAAGCCAUGCAUGUCUCAGUGCAAGCCGUAUUAAGGCGAUACCGCGAAUGGCUCAAUAUAUCAGUUUUGGUUCCUUAGAUCUUACUCGGUUACUUGGAUAACUGUGGUAAUUCUAGAGCUAAUACAUGCAAUCAGAACUCUGACCAGUGAUGGGAUGAGUGCUUUUAUUAGAUCAAAACCAAUCGGCGGAGGGCCUUGCGUCCGAAGUCGUAACAUUUUGAUGAAUCUGGAUAACUUUUGCAGAUCGCACGGUCCCGUACCGGCGACGCAUCUUUCAAAUGUCUGCCUUAUCAACUUUCGAUGGUAGUUUCUGCGACUACCAUGGUUGUCACGGGUAACGGGGAAUCAGGGUUCGAUUCCGGAGAGGGAGCCUGAGAAACGGCUACCACAUCCAAGGAAGGCAGCAGGCGCGCAAAUUACCCACUCCCGGCACGGGGAGGUAGUGACGAAAAAUAACGAUACGGGACUCUUACGAGGCCUCGUAAUCGGAAUGAGUACACUUUAAAUAUUUUAACGAGGAACAAUUGGAGGGCAAGUCUGGUGCCAGCAGCCGCGGUAACUCCAGCUCCAAUAGCGUAUACUAAAAUUGUUGCGGUUAAAAAGCUCGUAGUUGCAUUUGUGCUCCGCGCUGUCGGUGCGAUUCUUUAGAAUCGAUACUGACACGUUUGCGGAGCAUAUCGUCGGUGAAUCGUAUGUAAAAGUACGGUUCAAUAUAUAAAAAUCCUAUCGCGAUGCUCUUCAGUGAGUGUCGAGGUGGGCCGACAAUUUUACUUUGAACAAAUUAGAGUGCUCAAAGCGGGCUCAAAAUGCUGCUUGAAUAUUUCGUGCAUGGAAUAAUAGAAUAUGAUCUCGGUUCUAUUUUGUUGGUUUUCAGAACUCCGAGGUAAUGAUUAAUAGGGAUAACUGGGGGCAUUCGUAUUGCGACGUUAGAGGUGAAAUUCUUGGAUCGUCGCAAGACGAACAUCAGCGAAAGCAUUUGCCAAAGGUGUUUUCAUCAAUCAAGAACGAAAGUUAGAGGUUCGAAGGCGAUUAGAUACCGCCCUAGUUCUAACCGUAAAUAUGUCAUCUAGCGAUCCGCCGACGUUACUACAAUGGCUCGGCGGGCAGCUUCCGGGAAACCAAAGAUUUUGGACUCCGGGGGAGUAUGGUUGCAAAGCUGAAACUUAAAGGAAUUGACGGAAGGGCACCACCAGGAGUGGAGCCUGCGGCUUAAUUUGACUCAACACGGGAAAUCUCACCAGGCCCGGACACCGGAAGGAUUGACAGAUUAACAGCUCUUUCUUGAUUCGGUGGGUGGUGGUGCAUGGCCGUUCUUAGUUGGUGGAGCGAUUUGUCUGGUUAAUUCCGGUAACGAACGAGACUCUAGCCUGCUAAAUAGGCGUCGUCAUUUAGGUGCGCGCGGCCGUUCGCGGUCGCGCAACUCACUGGCGACGUAUUAAAAUUCUUCUUAGAGGGACCGGCGGUUUCGAGCCGCACGAGAUUGAGCAAUAACAGGUCUGUGAUGCCCUUAGAUGUCCUGGGCCGCACGCGCGCUACACUGAAGGAAUCAGCAUGUUCUCCUUGGCCUAGAGGCCCGGGCAACCCGUUGAAACUCCUUCGUGCUGGGGAUUGGGGUUUGCAAUUAUCCCCCAUAAACGAGGAAUUCCUAGUAAGCGCGAGUCAUAAGCUCGCGUUGAUUAAGUCCCUGCCCUUUGUACACACCGCCCGUCGCUACUACCGAUUGAAUGAUUUAGUGAGGUCUUCGGACCGACACGCGGUGGCUUCACGGCCGUCGGCGUUGCUGGGAAGUUGACCAAACUUGAUCAUUUAGAGGAAGUAAAAGUCGUAACAAGGUUUCCGUAGGGGAACCUGCGGAAGGAUCAUUA
This 1909-nucleotide ribosomal RNA is filed under the name Leguminivora glycinivorella. RNAcentral describes it as "small subunit ribosomal RNA". It matches the Rfam family "Eukaryotic small subunit ribosomal RNA". Lineage: Eukaryota; Metazoa; Arthropoda; Insecta; Lepidoptera; Tortricidae. The record is from RNAcentral.